GCAUGGGGCACAGGGACGUGGGUUUGUCCCUCAGGUUUGGUGAGGUGACAGGGCUGGGCAGACAAGGGGAGCCUUUCUGAGGGGCACGGGGCACAGGGAUGUGGCUUUGCCCCUCAGGUUUGGUGAGGUGACAGGGCAGAGCAGACACGGGGAGCCUUUCUGAGGGGCAUGGGGCACAGGGACGUGGGUUUGUCCCUCAGGUUUGGUGAGGUGACAGGGCUGGGCAGACAAGGGGAGCCUUUCUGAGGGGCACGGGGCACAGGGAUGUGGGUUUGUCCCUCAGGUUUGGUGAGGUGACAGGGGGGGCAGCCUCGCUGCUGGCUCAGCUGGAAACUCAAACUUCCCGAUUCUGUGGGGAGACGGACAGAGACAGUGCUGAAGGCAAUCUUGCCUCCAAUAUUUUGCAGCUGUGUUAAUUACCAAAGAGUAAGAACAGCCUGGCCCUCACGCUGUGGGUGUGAUAAAGAUGAGUUUGCUGGUGGAGAGGCAGGGGGGUCUGCUGGCCCUGCUGUGAGGAGGGGACAGGAGGGUGUGAGAGGGACAGGAAGGGUCAGAUGUGUACAGGGGACAGACAGGGUUAGGUGGCCGUGCUGGGGACAGGAAGGGUCAGAUGUUGUACAGGGGACAGACAGGGUUAGGUGGCCGUGCUGGGGACAGGAAGGGUCAGAUGUUGUACAGGGACAGACAGGGUUAGGUGGCCGUGCUGGGGACAGGAAGGGUCAGAUGUUGUACAGGGGACAGACAGGGUUAGGUGGCCGUGCUGGGGACAGGAAAGAGCAAGCCAGAACUGCAGAAGAAAGAGAAGGAGAGAAAGAGCCAGAGCUGUGUGGAGCUGCCCAUGGGAGGCUGCAGAGAAAAGGAGAUGCACAUUCUGCUUGCCAACAUCAGCAGGUCAGCACAGGAGCGUGCAACAAGCAAGGAAUGAGCACAAAGAGAUCCAGUGAGGCAGCAGUGCAAAGCAUCUUUGGAGUUACCAGAGACCACAGCUAUGUGCAAGGAUCCUCAUCAGCAAGUUUUAAAUGUAAAUGGAGCUGUGCAAUUUGUCCCUUCAAAGCAGCUUCAGACUCUGUGUUAUUGAGACAGCUGUCACAUUUUGGAAAGUGAGGAGAAGAGCUACAAGUAUUGUUUGUGGGCCCAUACAGAAAGGUGACAGAAUAGACAGCUUUGUCUAUGGUACCUCCAUGAUACCACGUGGAAAUGGAGCCUUGCAGACAGAACAGACAUAAACCACAUCAAGUGAUUAUCCUGCAGCACUUCAAGACUCAGUUUGCAUCAUUUUGAGACAGAAAGCGUGGCUACAUCCAUAUUCUCUCUCCUGAAAAGACCAGUGGUUCAGUUCCUGUGCAGUUAUUCCCUACUCCAGUGCUGUGAGUCAGGCUGGAGACUGCACAAAACUUUUCCUCACAUUUCUGAUGGAGACAGUGCUUGUCUGGAGAAAUCUGCAGAGUCUGUGUCUGAUAAAGAAGUGGCAGUUCCACAAGAACAGCAGCAGCCACUUUGAGGACAUUCCCUACUUAAUUUUCUGACACUAAUGUGAGCUGUGGCUUGAAAAGUUGCAUUAAGUUAGUGCCCUGUACAAAACAAUCCCA
Molecule: long non-coding RNA, 1589 nt
Organism: Prinia subflava (tawny-flanked prinia)
Lineage: Eukaryota; Metazoa; Chordata; Aves; Passeriformes; Cisticolidae
Exons: 3
Source: RefSeq, a predicted model, not a curated record